CCUACGGGGGGCGAGCAGUGGGGAAGUCUUGCGCAAUGGGCGAAAGCCUGACGCAGCCAUGCCGCGUGAAUGAUGAAGGUCUUAGGAUUGUAAAAUUACUUUCACCGGGGACGAUAAUGACGGUACCCGGAGAAGAAGCCCCGGCUAACUUCGUGCCAGCAGCCGCGGUAAUACGAAGGGGGCUAGCGUUGCUCGGAAUUACUGGGCGUAAAGGGAGCGUAGGCGGAUAGUUUAGUCAGAGGUGAAAGCCCAGGGCUCAACCUUGGAAUUGCCUUUGAUACUGGCUAUCUUGAGUGUGGGAGAGGUAUGUGGAACUCCGAGUGUAGAGGUGAAAUUCGUAGAUAUUCGGAAGAACACCAGUGGCGAAGGCGACAUACUGGCCCAUUACUGACGCUGAGGCUCGAAAGCGUGGGGAGCAAACAGGAUUAGAUACCCUGGUAGUCCACGCUGUAAACGAUGAGUGCUAGUUGUCGGCAUNNANNNAUGUCGUGACGCAGCACGACAUAGUACACUCCGCCGCGGGAGGUACGGUCGGCGAGAGUAAACUAACGAAGAAGUAGUACGCGUGAGACGCGCGACGACGACGACGAGGGAGGAGG
Molecule: ribosomal RNA, 599 nt
Filed under: uncultured bacterium
Lineage: Bacteria
Description: bacterial SSU rRNA
Rfam family: Bacterial small subunit ribosomal RNA (bases 1-518)
Source: RNAcentral